RNAcentral lists this transfer RNA (73 nucleotides) under Triticum aestivum (bread wheat). It matches the Rfam family "tRNA". Rfam says of the family: Transfer RNA (tRNA) molecules are approximately 80 nucleotides in length. RNAcentral also lists the same sequence under 1 other name. Lineage: Eukaryota; Viridiplantae; Streptophyta; Magnoliopsida; Poales; Poaceae. The record is from Rfam by way of RNAcentral.
GCUCGUCUAGCUUAGUCGGCAAUGUGCAAGGCUCUUAACCUUGUGCUCUUGGGUUCAAGCCCCAUGGCGGGCG